AGAGUUUGAUCCUGGCUCAGGAUGAACGCUAGCGACAGGCUUAACACAUGCAAGUCGAGGGGCAGCGGGGGAGCAGCAAUGCUCCCGCCGGCGACCGGCGCACGGGUGAGUAACACGUAUGGAACCUGCCCGCAGCAGGGGGAUAAGCGGAAGAAAUUCCGUCUAAUACCGCGUAACACCGCGGAGGGGCAUCCCUCGGCGGUUAAAGAUUCAUCGGCUGCGGAUGGCCAUGCGGCGCAUUAGCUAGUCGGCGGGGUAACGGCCCACCGAGGCGACGAUGCGUAGGGGUUCUGAGAGGAAGGUCCCCCACACUGGUACUGAGACACGGACCAGACUCCUACGGGAGGCAGCAGUGAGGAAUAUUGGUCAAUGGCCGGGAGCCUGAACCAGCCAAGCCGCGUGAGGGAAGACGGCCCUACGGGUUGUAAACCUCUUUUGUCAGGGAGCAAGAGGCGGGUCGGGACCUGCUGUGAGAGUACCCGAAGAAAAAGCAUCGGCUAACUCCGUGCCAGCAGCCGCGGUAAUACGGAGGAUGCGAGCGUUAUCCGGAUUUAUUGGGUUUAAAGGGUGCGCAGGCGGAGGCACAAGUCAGCGGUAAAAUCGCGGGGCUCAACCCCGCUCCGCCGUUGAAACUGUGUCCCUUGAGUGCGCGAAGGGUAGGCGGAAUGCGUGGUGUAGCGGUGAAAUGCAUAGAUAUCACGCAGAACUCCGAUCGCGAAGGCAGCCUACCGGCGCGCAACUGACGCUCAUGCACGAAAGCGUGGGUAUCGAACAGGAUUAGAUACCCUGGUAGUCCACGCAGUAAACGAUGAAUGCUAUCUGUCCCGGCGGGAAUGACGGCUGGGUGGCACAGCGAAAGCGUUAAGCAUUCCACCUGGGGAGUACGCCCGGCAACGGUGAAACUCAAAGGAAUUGACGGGGGCCCGCACAAGCGGAGGAACAUGUGGUUUAAUUCGAUGAUACGCGAGGAACCUUACCCGGGCUCAAACGACACAGGGAUGCCGCCGAAAGGUGGCAGUCCUUCGGGACCUGUGUCGAGGUGCUGCAUGGUUGUCGUCAGCUCGUGCCGCGAGGUGUCGGCUUAAGUGCCAUAACGAGCGCAACCCCCAUCUUCAGUUGCCAUCAGGUAGAGCUGGGCACUCUGGAGAGACUGCCGGCGCAAGCUGCGAGGAAGGCGGGGAUGACGUCAAAUCAGCACGGCCCUUACGUCCGGGGCGACACACGUGUUACAAUGGCAGGUACAGCGGGAAGCCAGGCGGCGACGCCGAGCGGAACCCGAAAACCUGUCUCAGUUCGGAUCGGAGUCUGCAACCCGACUCCGUGAAGCUGGAUUCGCUAGUAAUCGCGCAUCAGCCAUGGCGCGGUGAAUAGGUUCCCGGGCCUUGCACUCACCGCCCGUCA
RNAcentral lists this ribosomal RNA (1401 nucleotides) under uncultured bacterium. RNAcentral's name for it is "16S ribosomal RNA". It matches the Rfam family "Bacterial small subunit ribosomal RNA". The record is from RNAcentral.